GAUGAACGCUAGCGGCAGGCUUAAUACAUGCAAGUUGAGGGGCAGCAUGAUAUACGCGAGUAUAUUGAUGGCGACCGGCGGACGGGUGAGUAAUAGGUAGGAGACCUACCUCAUACAGGGGGAUAGCAUAGAGAAAUCUGUGGUAAUACCCCAUGAGGUUAUAUGAAUAGAGGCAUAUAAUCAAAGCAUAAGCGAUUAUGCGGUAUGAGAGGGGCCUACUGACCAUUAGCUAGUUGGUGAGGUAAGGGCUCACCAAGGCGAAAGAUGGUUAGGGGUUUUGAGAGAGAGACCCCCCACAUUGGAACUGAGAGACGGUCCAGACUCCUACGGGAGGCAGCAGUAGGGAAUAUUGGGCAAUGGGCGAAAGCCUGACCCAGCCAUGCCGCGUGAAGGAAGACGGCCUUAUGGGUUGUAAACUUCUUUACUACGCGAAUAGAGGUUAGUACGAGAUACUAAUAGGAAGGUAGUGUAAGUAAAAGCACCGGCUAACUCCGUG
This 496-nucleotide ribosomal RNA is filed under the name uncultured bacterium. Its description in RNAcentral is "bacterial SSU rRNA". It matches the Rfam family "Bacterial small subunit ribosomal RNA", at positions 28 to 507 of the family's 1533-position model. The record is from RNAcentral.